This 73-nucleotide transfer RNA is filed under the name bacterium endosymbiont of Pedicinus badii. It matches the Rfam family "tRNA". Rfam says of the family: Transfer RNA (tRNA) molecules are approximately 80 nucleotides in length. Lineage: Bacteria; Pseudomonadati; Pseudomonadota; Gammaproteobacteria. The record is from Rfam by way of RNAcentral.
GCGGGAAUAGCUCAAUUGGUAGAGUACAACCUUGCCAAGGUUGAGGUUGCGAGUUCGAUUCUCGUUUCCCGCU